RNAcentral lists this non-coding RNA (29 nucleotides) under Mus musculus (house mouse). Lineage: Eukaryota; Metazoa; Chordata; Mammalia; Rodentia; Muridae. The record is from RNAcentral.
UGUUAGGAUGUUGUCCUGCAGCUCACCUU